AAAGCUGAUUCCAGCUACAGGUUCAUGCUGUUGUAUUCUUUUAUACUGUUUCAUUUGUACUGUUUUAAAUCAUUCAGUAAAUGCAAAGUUAAACCGAUCAUACUGUUAUAUUUUUUUAUACUGUUUUAUUCGUACUGUUUUAAAUCAUUCAGUAAAUGCAAAGUUAAACCGAUCAUACUGUUGUAUUCUUUUAUACUGUUUUAUUCGUACUGUUUUAAAUCAUUCAGUAAAUGCAAAGUUAAACCGAUCAUACUGUUGUAUUCUUUUAUACUGUUUUAUUCGUACUGUUUUAAAUCAUUCAGUAAAUGCAAAGUUAAACCGAUCAUACUGUUGUAUUCUUUUAUACUGUUUUAUUCGUACUGUUUUAAAUUCUUCAGUAAAUGCAAAGUUAAACCGAUGUGUCUUUAAUCUAGGUUUAAAAGUGCCCACUGUUGGAACACAUCUGAUCUCAUUUGAAAGCUGAUUCCAGCUACAGAUCUAAAAGUGUCUUCUGUUGAAACACAUCUGAUCUCUUCUGAAAGCUGAUUCCAGCUACAGAUUUAAAAGUGCCUACUGUUGAAACACAUUUCAUCUCAUCUGAAAGCUGAUUCCAGCUACAGAUUUAAAGGUGCCUACUGAUGAAACACAUCUGAUCUCAUCUGAAAGCUGAUUCCAGAUACAGGUUCAUACUGUUGUAC
Molecule: non-coding RNA, 677 nt
Organism: Misgurnus anguillicaudatus (oriental weatherfish)
Lineage: Eukaryota; Metazoa; Chordata; Actinopteri; Cypriniformes; Cobitidae
Source: RefSeq, a predicted model, not a curated record